Molecule: ribosomal RNA, 1371 nt
Filed under: uncultured bacterium
Lineage: Bacteria
Description: bacterial SSU rRNA
Rfam family: Bacterial small subunit ribosomal RNA
Source: RNAcentral
GAUGAACGCUGGCGGCGUGCCUAAUACAUGCAAGUCGAGCGAACGGACGAGAAGCUUGCUUCUCUGAUGUUAGCGGCGGACGGGUGAGUAACACGUGGAUAACCUACCUAUAAGACUGGGAUAACUUCGGGAAACCGGAGCUAAUACCGGAUAAUAUUUUGAACCGCAUGGUUCAAAAGUGAAAGACGGUCUUGCUGUCACUUAUAGAUGGAUCCGCGCUGCAUUAGCUAGUUGGUAAGGUAACGGCUUACCAAGGCAACGAUGCAUAGCCGACCUGAGAGGGUGAUCGGCCACACUGGAACUGAGACACGGUCCAGACUCCUACGGGAGGCAGCAGUAGGGAAUCUUCCGCAAUGGGCGAAAGCCUGACGGAGCAACGCCGCGUGAGUGAUGAAGGUCUUCGGAUCGUAAAACUCUGUUAUUAGGGAAGAACAUAUGUGUAAGUAACUGUGCACAUCUUGACGGUACCUAAUCAGAAAGCCACGGCUAACUACGUGCCAGCAGCCGCGGUAAUACGUAGGUGGCAAGCGUUAUCCGGAAUUAUUGGGCGUAAAGCGCGCGUAGGCGGUUUUUUAGUCUGAUGUGAAAGCCCACGGCUCAACCGUGGAGGGUCAUUGGAAACUGGAAAACUUGAGUGCAGAAGAGGAAAGUGGAAUUCCAUGUGUAGCGGUGAAAUGCGCAAAGAUAUGGAGGAACACCAGUGGCGAAGGCGACUUUCUGGUCUGUAACUGACGCUGAUGUGCGAAAGCGUGGGGAUCAAACAGGAUUAGAUACCCUGGUAGUCCACGCCGUAAACGAUGAGUGCUAAGUGUUAGGGGGUUUCCUCCCCUUAGUGCUGCAGCUAACGCAUUAAGCACUCCGCCUGGGGAGUACGACCGCAAGGUUGAAACUCAAAGGAAUUGACGGGGACCCGCACAAGCGGUGGAGCAUGUGGUUUAAUUCGAAGCAACGCGAAGAACCUUACCAAAUCUUGACAUCCUUUGACAACUCUAGAGAUAGAGCCUUCCCCUUCGGGGGACAAAGUGACAGGUGGUGCAUGGUUGUCGUCAGCUCGUGUCGUGAGAUGUUGGGUUAAGUCCCGCAACGAGCGCAACCCUUAAGCUUAGUUGCCAUCAUUAAGUUGGGCACUCUAAGUUGACUGCCGGUGACAAACCGGAGGAAGGUGGGGAUGACGUCAAAUCAUCAUGCCCCUUAUGAUUUGGGCUACACACGUGCUACAAUGGACAAUACAAAGGGCAGCGAAACCGCGAGGUCAAGCAAAUCCCAUAAAGUUGUUCUCAGUUCGGAUUGUAGUCUGCAACUCGACUACAUGAAGCUGGAAUCGCUAGUAAUCGUAGAUCAGCAUGCUACGGUGAAUACGUUCCCGGGUCU